Molecule: ribosomal RNA, 534 nt
Filed under: Mesopontonia verrucimanus
Lineage: Eukaryota; Metazoa; Arthropoda; Malacostraca; Decapoda; Palaemonidae
Description: partial large subunit ribosomal RNA
Rfam family: Bacterial large subunit ribosomal RNA
Source: RNAcentral
GUCUGUAUGUUAACUUAUAUAAAGUCUGGCCUGCCCACUGAGAAUUUAAAGGGCCGCGGUAAUUUGACCGUGCGAAGGUAGCAUAAUCAUUAGUCUUUUAAUUGGAGGCUUGAAUGAAUGGUCGGAUGAGGGAUGUUCUGUCUUUUUUAUAAAAAUGAAUUUAACUUUUAAGUGAAAAGGCUUAAAUUUUUUAGUGGGACGAUAAGACCCUAUAAAACUUUAUAUAAUUUAGAUUAUUCUAUUAUAUUAGGUUAAAAGGUGCUUAGUUUAUUUUAUAUUUUGUUGGGGAGAUGAUGAUAAAAUUUGUAACUGUUUUUUUAAUUAAAUAAUUAUAAUUAGUUUUUGAUCCUUUUUAAAGAUUAUAAGAUUAAGUUACUUUAGGGAUAACAGCGUAAUUUUCUUUGAGAGUUCUUAUCGACAAGAGUAGUUGCGACCUCGAUGUUGAAUUAAAAUUUUUGGUGGGUGAAGCCGUUCAUUAAAUAGGUCUGUUCGACCUUUAAAAUUUUACAUGAUUUGAGUUCAAACCGGUGUGAG